RNAcentral lists this non-coding RNA (115 nucleotides) under Cellulomonas fimi. RNAcentral describes it as "SAM-IV sequence". It matches the Rfam family "SAM (S-adenosyl methionine) riboswitch aptamer". From Rfam's summary of the family: SAM-IV is a mRNA element that regulates gene expression via direct sensing of S-adenosylmethionine (SAM or AdoMet). The record is from RNAcentral. RNAcentral also lists the same sequence under 1 other name. Lineage: Bacteria; Bacillati; Actinomycetota; Actinomycetes; Micrococcales; Cellulomonadaceae.
GGUCAUGAGCGCCAGCGCGAAGCCCCGGCUCGCUGGCCGGCAACCCUCCUCCGCGGUGGGGUGCCCCGGGUGACGACCAGGCCGACCGCCGCCCGGCGGACGGCAAGCGCGGGGA